GACGAACGCUGGCGGCGUGCUUAACACAUGCAAGUCGAACGGGUCUGCCCUGUUUUUUGCGGGGUGGGUCAGUGGCGAACGGGUGAGUAACACGUGAGUAACCUGCCCCUCACUUCUGGAUAACCGCUUGAAAGGGUGGCUAAUACGGGGUGUUCUGGCUGUGCCGCAUGGUGUGGCUGGGAAAGAUUCACUUUUGUGGUGUUUUGGUGGGGGAUGGGCUCGCGGCCUAUCAGCUUGUUGGUGGGGUGAUGGCCUGCCAAGGCUUUGACGGGUAGCCGGCCUGGGGGGGUGGGCGGUCACAAUGGGGAUGGGGUACGGCCCAGACUGCGGGGGGAAGCAGCCGUGGGGGGUAGUGCACAAUGGGCGGAAGCCUGAUGCAGCGACGUCGCGGGAGGGAUGGAGGCCUUCGGGUUGUGAACCUCUUUCGCCGGUGAAGAAGGUCCUGCUCUUUGUGGUGGGGUUGACGGUAGCCGGGUUAUGAAGCGCCGGCUAACUACGUG
Molecule: ribosomal RNA, 500 nt
Filed under: uncultured bacterium
Lineage: Bacteria
Description: partial 16S ribosomal RNA
Rfam family: Bacterial small subunit ribosomal RNA
Source: RNAcentral